This 386-nucleotide ribosomal RNA is filed under the name uncultured prokaryote. RNAcentral describes it as "bacterial SSU rRNA". It matches the Rfam family "Archaeal small subunit ribosomal RNA", at positions 339 to 725 of the family's 1478-position model. The record is from RNAcentral.
GCGCGAAAACUUUACAAUGCUGGCAACAGCGAUAAGGGAACCUCGAGUGCCAGGUUACAAAUCUGGCUGUCGAGAUGCCUAAAAAGCAUUUCAUAGCAAGGGCCGGGCAAGACCGGUGCCAGCCGCCGCGGUAACACCGGCGGCUCGAGGGGUAACCGUUAUUAUUGGGUCUAAAGGGUCUGUAGCCGGCCGGAUAAGUCUCUUGAGAAAUCUGGCAGCUUAACUGUCAGGCUUUCGGGAGAUACUGUCUGGCUCGAGGCCGGGAGAGGUGAGAGGUACUUCAGGGGUAGGGGUGAAAUCUUGUAAUCCUUGAAGGACCACCAGUGGCGAAGGCGUCUCACCAGAACGGACCUGACGGCAAGGGACGAAAGCUAGGGGCACGAACC